GUGUCAGCCGCCGCGGUAUACGGAGGGGGCUAGCGUUGUUCGGAAUCACUGGGCGUAAAGCGCGCGUAGGCGGCUUGCCAAGUUGGGGGUGAAAUCCCGGAGCUCAACUCCGGAACUGCCUUCAAAACUGACAAGCUAGAGUCCGGAAGAGGUGAGUGGAAUUCCCAGUGUAGAGGUGAAAUUCGUAGAUAUUGGGAAGAACACCAGUGGCGAAGGCGGCUCACUGGUCCGGUACUGACGCUGAGGUGCGAAAGCGUGGGGAGCAAACAGGAUUAGAUACUCUGGUAGUCCACGCCGUAAACGAUGAGAGCUAGUUGUCGGGCAGCAUGCUGUUCGGUGACGCAGCUAACGCAUUAAGCUCUCCGCCUGGGGAGUACGGUCGCAAGAUUAAAACUUAAAGGAAUUGGCGGGG
This 412-nucleotide ribosomal RNA is filed under the name uncultured prokaryote. RNAcentral describes it as "bacterial SSU rRNA". It matches the Rfam family "Bacterial small subunit ribosomal RNA", at positions 505 to 918 of the family's 1533-position model. The record is from RNAcentral.